Molecule: ribosomal RNA, 253 nt
Filed under: uncultured bacterium
Lineage: Bacteria
Description: partial 16S ribosomal RNA
Rfam family: Bacterial small subunit ribosomal RNA
Source: RNAcentral
UACGGGGGGGGCAAGCGUUGUUCGGAAUUACUGGGCGUAAAGGGCUUGUAGGUGGCCAACUAAGUCAGACGUGAAAUCCCUCGGCUUAACCGGGGAACUGCGUCUGAUACUGGAUGGCUUGAGUGUGGGAGAGGGAUGCGGAAUUCCAGGUGUAGCGGUGAAAUGCGCAGAUAUCAGGAGGAACACCGGUGGCGAAGGCGGGUCUCUGGGCCGAUACUGACGCUGAGGAGCGAAAGCGUGGGGAGCGAACAGG